UGUGGCCUUAGCUCAGUUGGUAGAGCACCUGACUGUUAAUCAGGUUGUCGCUGGUUCGAGCCCAGCAGGCUACGU
This 75-nucleotide transfer RNA is filed under the name Lactiplantibacillus plantarum. Its description in RNAcentral is "Lactobacillus plantarum tRNA-Asn". It matches the Rfam family "tRNA". Rfam says of the family: Transfer RNA (tRNA) molecules are approximately 80 nucleotides in length. The record is from RNAcentral. Lineage: Bacteria; Bacillati; Bacillota; Bacilli; Lactobacillales; Lactobacillaceae.